AGCGAACGCUGGCGGCAGGCCUAAUACAUGCAAGUCGAACGAAGCCUUCGGGCUUAGUGGCGGACGGGUGAGUAACACGUGGGAACGUACCCUUUGGUUCGGAACAACUCAGGGAAACUUGAGCUAAUACCCGAAUGUGCCCCCAUCCUUAACAAGAUGGGUGGAAAGAUUUAUCGCCAUUGGAGCGGCCCGCGUCUGAUUAGCUAGUUGGUGAGGUAAAGGCCCACCAAGGCUACGAUCAGUAGCUGGUCUGAGAGGAUGAUCAGCCACACUGGGACUGAGACACGGCCCAGACUCCUACGGGA
This 305-nucleotide ribosomal RNA is filed under the name uncultured bacterium. RNAcentral describes it as "bacterial SSU rRNA". It matches the Rfam family "Bacterial small subunit ribosomal RNA", at positions 29 to 346 of the family's 1533-position model. The record is from RNAcentral.